This 154-nucleotide small RNA is filed under the name Carlito syrichta (Philippine tarsier). Its description in RNAcentral is "7SK RNA (ENSTSYG00000023878.2)". It matches the Rfam family "7SK RNA", at positions 116 to 273 of the family's 331-position model. Rfam says of the family: 7SK was discovered as an abundant small nuclear RNA in the mid-70s but a possible function has only recently been suggested. Two independent studies have found that 7SK RNA binds the CDK9/cyclin T complex (known as elongation factor P-TEFb). Lineage: Eukaryota; Metazoa; Chordata; Mammalia; Primates; Tarsiidae. The record is from RNAcentral.
UUCCUACCAAAGCUGAGAGCUUGGUCAAAGAUGAUGACCUUUUCUUUAUGGACAAGAACUUUAUGUAGUUUGGAACAUAAAUGUAGUUUCAAUUUUCUUCUAGAGGCUCCACAUCAGCAGUUAAAUACAUUUAUUGAAGUUCAUAGGAAACAAU